GGCAAUCCCCUAAUGUUCCCUUCCACCUUGUGGAAGUUUUGUUCUUUCGCUCUUUGCAAUAAAUCCCAUUGUUGCUCGCUCUUUGGGGUCUCACUGUCUGUGCGAGCUGUAAUACUCGCCGCAAAGGUGUCUGGCUUCACUUCCGAGACCAGCGAGACCCCGAACCCACCGGGAGGAAUGAACAACUCCGGAUGGGAGGGACAAACAACACCAGACGCACCGCCUUAAGAGUCCUAACGCUCACCGCGGAGGUCUGCGGCUUCACUCUUGAAUGAAGCCAGCGAGAUCACAAACCCACCAGAAGGAAGGAACUCUGAACACAUCCGAAAAUCAGAAGGAACAAACUCCGGACACACUACCUUUAAGAACUGUAACACUCAAAUCGCGAGGGUCCACGGCUUCGUUCUUGAAGUCAGUGAGACCAAGAACCCACAAAUUCCGGACACUUCCCCACACAGAGGGAACUGGCCUAACACUCUGGUGGUGCCAAUAGGAUGUACUGACAGAUCAGAAGUGGUCGUGAGAGAAGGAGCAAGUAGCCAGAAGAGUGAAGUGUGCACUGGCUGAGAUGUGGGAGCAGGUGUUGUUGGUUUCCCCGGACAAGAAGGCCCUCGCCAGAUAUCAAGGCCUUAAGCUUGGACUUCCCAGCCUCCAGAACUGGGGGAAGAGCCAAGAUGUCUGAAUAGAAACAGCUCCGGUCUACAGCUCCCAGCGUGAGCAAUGCAGAAGACAGGUGAUUUCUGCAUUUCCAUCUGAGGUACCGGGUUCAUCUCACUAGGGAGUGCCAGACAGUGGGCGCAGGUCAGGGGGUGCUCGCACCGUGUGCCAGCCGAAGCAGGGCGAGGCAUUGCCUCACUCGGGAAGCGCAAGGGAUCAGGGAGUUCCCUUUCCUAGUCAAAGAAAGGGGUGACAGACGGCACCUGGAAAAUCGGGUCACUCCCACCCGAAUACUGCGCUUUUCCGAUGGGCUUAAAAAACGGCACACCAGGAGAUUAUAUCCCGCACCUGGAUCGGAGGGUCCUACGCCCACGGAGUCUCGCUGAUUGCUAGCACAGCAGUCUGAGAUCAAACAGCAAAGCGGCAGUGAGGCUGGGAGAGGGGCGCCCGCCAUUGCCCAGGCUUGCUUAGGUAAACAAAGCAGCCGGGAAGCUCGAACUGGGUGGAGCCCACCACAGCUCAAGGAGGCCUGCCUGCCUCUGUAGGCUCCACCUCUGGGGGCAGGGCACAGACAAACAAAAAGACAGCAGUAAUCUCUGCAGACUUAAAUGUCCCUGUCUGACAGCUUUGAAGAGAGCAGUGGUUCUCCCAGCACGCAGCUGGAGAUCUGAGAACGGGCAGACUGCCUCCUCAAGUGGGUCCCUGACCCCUGAACCCCGAGCAGCCUAACUGGGAGGCACCCCCCAAGCAGGGGCAGACUGACAUCUCACAUGGCCGGGUACUCCAACAGACCUGCAGCUGAGGGUCCUGUCUGUUAGAAGGAAAACUAACAAACAGAAAGGACAUCCACACCAAAAACCCAUCUGUACAUCACCAUCAUCAAAGACCAAAAGUAGAUAAAACCACAAAGAUUGGGAAAAAACAGAGCAGAAAAACUGGAAACUCUAAAAGGCAGAGCACCUCUCCUCCUCCAAAGGAACGCAGUUCCUCACCAGCAACAGAACAAAGCUGGACGGAGAAUGACUUUGACGAGCUGAGAGAAGAAGGCUUCAGAUGAUCAAAUUACUCUGACCUACGGGAGGACAUUCAAACCAAGGGCAAAGAAGUUGAAAACUUUGAAAAAAAUUUAGAAGAAUGUAUAACUAGAAUAACCAAUACAGAGAAGUGCUUAAAGGAGCUGAUGGAGCUGAAAACCAAGGCUUGAGAACUACAUAAAGAAUGCAGAAGCCUCAGGAGCUGAUGCGAUCAACUGGAAGAAAGGGUAUCAGCGAUGGAAGAUGAAAUGAAUGAAAUGAAGCGAGAAGGGAAGUUUAGAGAAAAAAAUAAAAAGAAACGAGCAAAGCCUCCCAAGAAAUAUGGGACGAUGUGAAAAGACCAAAUCUAUGUCUGACUGGUGUACCUGAAAGUGACGGGGAGAAUGGAACCAAGUUGGAAAACACUCUGCAGGAUAUUAUCCAGGGGAACUUCCCCAAUCCAGCAAGGCAGGCCAACAUUCAGAUUCAGGAAAUACAGAGAACGCCACAAAGAUACUCCUUGAGAAGAGCAACUCCAAGACACAUAAUUGUCAGAUUCACCGAAGUUGAAAUGAAGGAAAAAAUGUUAAGGGCAGCCAGAGAGAAAGGUCAUGUUACCCUCAAAGGGAAGCCCAUCAGACUAACAGCGGAUAUCUCGGCAGAAACUCUACAAACCAGAAGAGAGUGGGGGCCAAUAUUCAACAUUCUUAAAGAAAAGAAUUUUCCACCCCGAAUUUCAUAUCCAGCCAAACUAAGCUUCAUAAGUGAAGGAGAAAUAAACUACUUUACAGACAAGCAAAUGCUGAGAGAUUUUGUCACCACCAGGCCUGCCCUAAAAGAGCUCCUGAAGGAAGUGCUAAACAUGGAAAGGAACAACUGGUACCAGCCACUGCAAAAUCAUGCCAAAAUGUAAAGACCAUUGAGACUAGGAAGAAACUGCAUCAACUAACGAGCAAAAUAACCAGCUAACAUCAUCAUGACAGGAUCAAAUUCACACAUAACAAUAUUAACUUUAAAUGUAAAUGGACUAAAUGCUCCAAUUAAAAGAC
Molecule: long non-coding RNA, 2719 nt
Filed under: Homo sapiens (human)
Lineage: Eukaryota; Metazoa; Chordata; Mammalia; Primates; Hominidae
Description: HSALNT0290363
Source: RNAcentral